RNAcentral lists this ribosomal RNA (1239 nucleotides) under Triticum aestivum (bread wheat). RNAcentral's name for it is "partial small subunit ribosomal RNA". The record is from RNAcentral. Lineage: Eukaryota; Viridiplantae; Streptophyta; Magnoliopsida; Poales; Poaceae.
AUGGCCUACUAGCCGUGCAACCCAUACCCUCACCUCCCCGCAGGCACCACGAUCAUUGCUCCGGGCCCUGAACGCGCACAGCGAGGCUACGUCGUCCUCGGCGGUGAGCUCCCUAUGGUCUGUGAUGAGUGGGCUAUCGCUACUCUGGUUCCUGCUGUCCCCGAAGAUUUCCCUGCCGCCAAUGCAAUGAUCAUUGAGUACCUCGAAGCCAAGGGAUGGAGGAUCAACUACACCUCCAGAUGUGGUAUGGGUACUGCUCUGAUCCAAUUUACAACUGCUUGUUCGAGAGAUUCUGCCAUAAAUAAUAGUCCCUAUGAGAUCGGGGACCCUGUUCUUCGCAUUACCAGGCAUGAUAGGAGUUUGAACUACCGUAGCAUCACUUUUACCCAUGGUGUUUGGCUCAUGUUGAUGAACUAUCCCCUGGAAUGCUGGGAGGUAUGAGUUGUUAGCCGCACAGUCUCUCAAUACGAUAGAUUUCUGAUCUGGAACAAGGACCCGAGAGACAAAACUAGGAUUAUUGUUAAGAUCAGAGUUAUGAAUGUGGAUACUUUACCUGUCAGUAUUGUUGUUCUGCACAAUUUGGACGAUGUUGGGUAUGGUGAUUCAUGGACUUGUCCUACAUAUAUUCUAUCUUGUGAGCUCAUUGGCCAACUUGGUGGUGAUGAGGAUCCUCUUCCCCCCGAUGGAGGAAAUCCACAUCCUCUCCUGCAUGUUCAGGAGGGUUUUUGGCAUGACGAAGUCCUUGGUAACAUCCCCAUGGAGCAGGUUGUUAUCAACCCACACAAUGAGCAUCUUGGAGCUCCUUAUGAGGAUGUUCAUGCACCUGCUGCUGACAAUGUCAACAAUAAUCUAAAUGAGGUGCUCCCCACUGCUGUCAUGCCCACUCCUAUGCAGGUUGACUCUGCUGCACAUGCACUCAAUGAGGAGGUGCAGGAGGAUCAAAUGGACUUCAUUCCUGUGCCUGUAGAUGGAUCACAGGAUAUCCAAGCCAACAGUCCAGCUUUUGUGCCUGCUAAUGUGUCCAUGGAUUACGAGGAUGCACAUUUUACUAGGAAUGUUGAGCCAAACAACUAUAUGUCUGACGACAUCUCUGUUCUUCAGGGCCUCAUUGGCAAUAUUGUGUCCAAUGCCCAUGACAUGUUCCCAAACUGGGUGGCUCUAAAAUUGUCAAUGCUAAAUGUAACAUUGUGGAUGUUGAAGGCACUCAGGGUUUCAGCAAGAAGUGUUAUCUGCAAAUAA